AGAGACGAAAGACGUGUUCAAAAAUGAUUGUGAUUAUUUGUGUUAGUGAAAAUUCAACUGAAAAUGGUGUGUCAGUGUGAAUGUGGCGUUUAUAUUCAAUCUUAAAAACCUAAACCUGGUUUCCCCGCCAUGAAGAGAGAGUUUUGACUGUAGAUCGUGGAACAAACUGGCUGGAACAACUUGAAGAUGGGGAAACAAUCCUACGAAGCUGGGAUGCCGUGCAGCCAUGGAAGAUUCUUCUGGAUCACGGACCUAAAGGAUCCAGGCCAUCGAAGCGACAGCGACAGCCCCAGGUA
Molecule: long non-coding RNA, 296 nt
Organism: Macrobrachium nipponense
Lineage: Eukaryota; Metazoa; Arthropoda; Malacostraca; Decapoda; Palaemonidae
Exons: 3
Source: RefSeq, a predicted model, not a curated record